GUGCCAGCCGCCGCGGUAAUGCCGGCAGCUCAAGUGAUGUCCCAUAUUAUUGGGCCUAAAGCGUCCGUAGCUGGGUCUGAAAGUCCAUCGGGAAAUCCACUCGCUCAACGAGUGGCCGUCCGGUGGAAACUCCACACCUUGGGACCGGAAGGCUCGAAGGGUACGGCCGGGGUAGGAGUGAAAUCCUGUAAUCCCGUCCGGACCACCGAUGGCGAAAGCGCCUCGGGAAGACGGACCCGACAGUGAGGGACGAAAGCUGGGAUCUCGAACCGGAUUAGAAACCCUUGUAGUCC
This 293-nucleotide ribosomal RNA is filed under the name uncultured bacterium. Its description in RNAcentral is "partial 16S ribosomal RNA". It matches the Rfam family "Archaeal small subunit ribosomal RNA", at positions 455 to 747 of the family's 1478-position model. The record is from RNAcentral.